GAAGAGCCCGGUCUCGACCUUUGGCGGCCAUGCCUAUGACGGCCUGAUGAUUCUGGUCGAAGCCAUGAAGCGCGCCAACUCGACCGAUCCGAAGAAGGUUCGGGACGAAAUCGAAAAGACCAAGGNNNNNNNNNNCGGCAUCGUCAACAUGACGCCGACGGAUCAUCUCGGCCUCGAUCUCUCGGCGUUCCGUAUGCUGGAAAUCAAGGGCGGCGACUGGACCCUGAUCAAGCCCGGCGCA
Molecule: unclassified non-coding RNA, 241 nt
Filed under: Hevea brasiliensis (rubber tree)
Lineage: Eukaryota; Viridiplantae; Streptophyta; Magnoliopsida; Malpighiales; Euphorbiaceae
Source: RNAcentral